AGUUGGUCCGAAGGUUGUGGGUUAUUGUUAAACUGUUUAGGAAAGUUAAGGCACACACCCAUGUCAAAACCAACAUUUUCUCCAUAUAGUUUGUUUGGACAUCAAAUUAGCUAUAUCUUCGUCUCAAAAUAUUCUGUCCCCCAACCCACUGCCAUUCUUUGGACCGAAUCUAG
RNAcentral lists this small RNA (173 nucleotides) under Echinops telfairi (small Madagascar hedgehog). Its description in RNAcentral is "Y RNA (ENSETEG00000026106.1)". The record is from RNAcentral. Lineage: Eukaryota; Metazoa; Chordata; Mammalia; Afrosoricida; Tenrecidae.